RNAcentral lists this transfer RNA (76 nucleotides) under Rhodobacter capsulatus. RNAcentral's name for it is "tRNA_Ala_CGC". It matches the Rfam family "tRNA". Rfam says of the family: Transfer RNA (tRNA) molecules are approximately 80 nucleotides in length. Their secondary structure includes four short double-helical elements and three loops (D, anti-codon, and T loops). Lineage: Bacteria; Pseudomonadati; Pseudomonadota; Alphaproteobacteria; Rhodobacterales. The record is from RNAcentral. RNAcentral also lists the same sequence under 17 other names.
GGGGCUGUAGCUCAGUUGGGAGAGCGCAUCGUUCGCAAUGAUGAGGUCAGGGGUUCGAUCCCCCUCAGCUCCACCA